This is a long non-coding RNA of Pezoporus flaviventris, 1475 nucleotides long. RefSeq lists it as uncharacterized. The record is from RefSeq and is a predicted model, not a curated record. NCBI's taxonomy places the organism in Eukaryota, Metazoa, Chordata, Aves, Psittaciformes, Psittacidae. The transcript is spliced from 3 exons.
AGCUACAGAGGACCAAGGCACUAGUGUUGGAGCCAAAUGCUAGAUUUUAUAUCAUUUUAAUCUGAACUUUUAUAAUCCUUUUAGUUCUUCUUUCUCUGGAUGGCAGAGGAAAGGCGCCUCUGCAUGUAUCAUGCAUCUUUUCUUCCCCCUUUAUUCCUCUUAUAAAUGUGCAAAUGCUGCUGUAAUGGGGAGGAAUGUACCCUUAGCAUUAGCAGGAAGAGGCACAAGCAGAUUUGGGGUUUAUAUAUAGGUACGUUUGCGUGUGUAUAUAUGCAUUAUAUAUAUGUGUGUGUGUAUAUGUGUGCUAGUGGAUAAUAAUGGCCAUUUCAGCUGGAGACAUCUUUAUUUGAAGGUUUCCUUCCAUGGGGGGUAGGAGGGGGCGUCCAUAAAUCUCAGGCUCCAGUUUUUACGUGCAGAAAUAAAGAACCACCGUAAGACCUCCUUUUAUUUUAUUUUUAUCCCAAAGCUUAAUUGAGCAGAAGUUGCAUUUAUGCUGUUGAGCCUCAGAAAGCAGCAACAACAACAACAAAAAUACCUAAACAGUUUUAAUUACCUUUCUGCCUAUGCUGAUGGGGAGAAAAUGCCUGCUCAUUAUGCAGCGAGGUGUUGUGGCUGGCUGAGCCUGGUGUUGGGAGGGGGCCGGGCUGAGGUUUGCGGGCUGGAGGGGUGCCAGCAUUACGGAGGGAAAGGUUAGAGUUGACACACUUUGACACGAGAGUGAAAUGCACUCCGACAACAAAGGAAACCAGGAGCUUGCAGCUAAACAGACACAAAAGCUUACGGGCGUCUUGCGGGCGAGGGAAAUGCGCUGGCUCCCAUUCCUUUCCCUUGUCUUUUCUUAGGAAAAGUUCUCCAUUCUUUUAGGUAAUCGGUCAGUAUUCUCAUACUGCUCAAACCCACCGAAAGGAGGGGUGGAUUUUCACUCAUCACCUCAAAUAAUUAAACCCAAAUGCUACCACCUGCGCACACCAAUACAAGCAGGUCUUCCGUACGUGUCUCUAGCAGCAAAGUCCCUCCUAAAAUCUGUGCAAGACACAGACGUACCUCUACCAGGGCCCCUGCUGCCCACAUGGGGCCAUGAGAGCUACCCACCUGCCAGGAGCCCAGCCAGCCUGCUGGUGUCCCCGUGAUCCCCCAGAUCCCCUCUGGGGAGACACAGCAGCUCUGGCUGCUGUGGGCUCUUUGGAUGUUGGUUUUCCUGCCAGAGGUGCCACCCUGUACCUCAGUCGGUGGAGCAGCAGUCGGGAUGUCACGUGGGAGGAAACCUGUAAGCCUGCAAGAGGUGCUGGGGAAGCAAAUGGCCUAGAUAUGUUUUCCCAGAGGUUCUACCACUGUCACUGAUGGGAUCAGCCUUCACCAGUGGUGGGUCCAUCUUGGGUCCAACUGGCAUUGGCUCUAUUUGACAUAAGGGAAGCUUCUAGCAGCUUCUCACAGAAGCCACCUCUGUAGCUCCCCCACUACCCAAACCUUGCCAU